This 413-nucleotide ribosomal RNA is filed under the name Actinocyclus actinochilus. RNAcentral's name for it is "SSU rRNA". It matches the Rfam family "Eukaryotic small subunit ribosomal RNA", at positions 596 to 1011 of the family's 1831-position model. Lineage: Eukaryota; Bacillariophyta; Coscinodiscophyceae; Coscinodiscales; Hemidiscaceae. The record is from RNAcentral.
AGCGUAUAUUAAAGUUGUUGCAGUUAAAAAGCUCGUAGUUGGAUUUCUGGUAGGAGUAGUAGCUAUAGGUCUUUGACCUAUAAAGUUGCUAUCUUCAACCAUCCUUGAAGAUAUUUAGUCUGGCAUUAAGUUGUCGGAUUAAAGAUAUUCAUCUUUUACUGUGAAAAAAUCAGAACGUUCAAAGUAAGCAUUUAGCUUUGAAUGUAUUAGCAUGGAAUAAUAAAAUAGGACUUAGGUACUAAUUUGUUGGUUUAUGCACCUAGGUAAUGAUUAAUAGGGAUAGUUGGGGGUAUUCGUAUUCCAUUGUUAGAGGUGAAAUUCUUGGAUUUCUGGAAGACGAACAACUGCGAAAGCAUUUACCAAGGAUGUUUUCAUUAAUCAAGAACGAAAGUUAAGGGAUCGAAGAUGAUUAG